RNAcentral lists this long non-coding RNA (207 nucleotides) under Malus domestica (apple). RNAcentral describes it as "long non-coding RNA (MDOM_LNC008633)". The record is from RNAcentral. Lineage: Eukaryota; Viridiplantae; Streptophyta; Magnoliopsida; Rosales; Rosaceae.
GGGUGUAGAUUCCGCCGAACUCUUAUUAACGGCUCUUGCGGGGUUAAUGGGGGAAGUUUGCUUUCGACUUCUUUUCAGAAAUGCUCGAACGAGCUUUCAUCUGCUGAAGGAGGAAUUUGAUGCACUUCUCGGACUCUUCAAUGGUGGUUUCAAAGUCGUGAGCAAUUACCCUUUUUCCUUGAAGUAAUUCAGCCAUGACUGUCGGGG